GAUGAACGCUAGCUACAGGCUUAACACAUGCAAGUCGAGGGCAGCGGGAUUGAAGCUUGCUUCAAGUUGCCGGCGACCGGCGCACGGGUGAGUAACGCGUAUCCAACCUUCCGUACACUCAGGGAUAGCCUUUCGAAAGAAAGAUUAAUACCUGAUGGUAUCUUAAGCACACAUGUAAUUAAGAUUAAAGAUUUAUCGGUGUACGAUGGGGAUGCGUUCCAUUAGGUAGUAGGCGGGGUAACGGCCCACCUAGCCUACGAUGGAUAGGGGUUCUGAGAGGAAGGCCCCCCACAUUGGAACUGAGACACGGUCCAAACUCCUACGGGAGGCAGCAGUGAGGAAUAUUGGUCAAUGGACGAGAGUCUGAACCAGCCAAGUAGCGUGAAGGAUGAAGGUCUUACGGAUUGUAAACUUCUUUUAUAAGGGAAUAAACCCUCCCACGUGUGGGAGCUUGUAUGUACCUUAUGAAUAAGCAUCGGCUAACUCCGUG
Molecule: ribosomal RNA, 490 nt
Filed under: uncultured bacterium
Lineage: Bacteria
Description: bacterial SSU rRNA
Rfam family: Bacterial small subunit ribosomal RNA
Source: RNAcentral